AACGUAGGACACAAGCGUUAUCCGGAGUUACUGGGCGUAAAGAGCGCGCAGGCGGUCGUUCAAGUCGCGUGUGAAAGCCCCUGGCUCAACUGGGGAGGGUCACGCGAUACUGAUCGACUCGAAGGCAGGAGAGGGUAGUGGAAUUCCCGGUGUAGUGGUGAAAUGCGUAGAUAUCGGGAGGAACACCAGUGGCGAAGGCGACUACCUGGCCUGUUCUUGACGCUGAGGCGCGAAAGCUAGGGGAGCAAACGGG
Molecule: ribosomal RNA, 253 nt
Filed under: uncultured bacterium
Lineage: Bacteria
Description: partial 16S ribosomal RNA
Rfam family: Bacterial small subunit ribosomal RNA
Source: RNAcentral